Molecule: small nuclear RNA, 228 nt
Filed under: Spermophilus dauricus (Daurian ground squirrel)
Lineage: Eukaryota; Metazoa; Chordata; Mammalia; Rodentia; Sciuridae
Description: 7SK RNA (ENSSDAG00000021006.1)
Rfam family: 7SK RNA
About the family: 7SK was discovered as an abundant small nuclear RNA in the mid-70s but a possible function has only recently been suggested. Two independent studies have found that 7SK RNA binds the CDK9/cyclin T complex (known as elongation factor P-TEFb).
Source: RNAcentral
GGAUGUAAUGUCACAUUUGUCAUCCCACUGAUUGCCAGGGUUGAUUCAACUUUCUGGCUGGCUGGGUGUGUAUCAUCUUCCCCUCUCACCCUCAGGAAGCUGCAUGCUUGAUCAAAGAGAUUAAUCUUCCCUAACAAAGGAGGACCAUUCUUCACUCAAGAGUAUAUAGCUUCUAGAACUUCUAAAAAAGCUCUCAAGUUAUUAAUAUAUCAAAUGGAUUAAUCCACU